This 606-nucleotide long non-coding RNA is filed under the name Ananas comosus (pineapple). RNAcentral's name for it is "long non-coding RNA (ACOM_LNC015844)". The record is from RNAcentral. Lineage: Eukaryota; Viridiplantae; Streptophyta; Magnoliopsida; Poales; Bromeliaceae.
AAAAAAAUAUUUAAUUAUACAAACUAAUUCCUAUAACAUUAAUUUUUAGUAAAUUGAAUUAAAGAAUUGGGCUGGAAUAUUAUUAAUAACAAAAAACUCUUUUUGCUAUCAAGUUUUUUAAUCAUUGGAUGAGAAAUUGUAAAUUUAGAAUGACAUUAGUCUCUUAGGAUUAAGUGGUCCCUCUAAGGUUGAGUGGUUUUCACUGGAUUAUAAUAUUUAAUUCAAUAGUUAGAGGUUGAGUGGUUUUUACUGGAUUAUAAUAUUUAAUUCAAUAGUUAGAAAUGAUGAAAAGAAUUGAUCCAAAGGCUAAAAAUUUGAUAGCAAAAAAAAUCUUUUGCUAUCAUCAGUAUUCUAGCCCGACUCUUGAAUUAAAUAUGGAAGUAUAAAUGUUAAUUUGUAAAAUAUUGUUUAUUGAAGGUACAAAAUUAAUUAAAGAUAAUUUCUAUGUAUUACAAUUGUUGCAAAUAUUUUUUUUUUGUCAAUUGUUUAUAUAUUCCUAAAAAAUUUUCAACUUUCUUAUUUAUCUUUUUUAGAAGGCUAAUAUUAAAAAUACCUUUUUUACGUUCCAACCUAUUUCAAAUAUAUUUCUAGAAUUAAAAUAUGUUA